CCUACGGGGGGCAGCAGUCGAGAAUCAUUCACAAUGGGGGAAACCCUGAUGGUGCGACGCCGCGUGGGGGAAUGAAGGUCUUCGGAUUGUAAACCCCUGUCAUGUGGGAGCAAAUUAAAAAGAUAGUACCACAAGAGGAAGAGACGGCUAACUCUGUGCCAGCAGCCGCGGGAAUACAGCGGUCUCAAGCGUUGUUCGGAAUCACUGGGCGUAAAGCGUGCGUAGGCUGUUUCGUAAGUCGUGUGUGAAAGGCGCGGGCUCAACCCGCGGACGGCACAUGAUACUGGGAGACUAGAGUAAUGGAGGGGGAAGCGGAAUUCUCGGUGUAGCAGUGAAAUGCGUAGAUAUCGAGAGGAACACUCGUGGCGAAGGCGGGUUCCUGGACAUUAACUGACGCUGAGGCACGAAGGCCAGGGGAGCGAAAGGGAUUAGAUACCCGUGUAGUC
This 446-nucleotide ribosomal RNA is filed under the name uncultured bacterium. RNAcentral describes it as "partial 16S ribosomal RNA". It matches the Rfam family "Bacterial small subunit ribosomal RNA", at positions 338 to 795 of the family's 1533-position model. The record is from RNAcentral.